This 71-nucleotide transfer RNA is filed under the name Pirellulaceae bacterium. Its description in RNAcentral is "tRNA-Gln". It matches the Rfam family "tRNA". From Rfam's summary of the family: Transfer RNA (tRNA) molecules are approximately 80 nucleotides in length. Their secondary structure includes four short double-helical elements and three loops (D, anti-codon, and T loops). Lineage: Bacteria; Pseudomonadati; Planctomycetota; Planctomycetia; Pirellulales; Pirellulaceae. The record is from RNAcentral.
UGCCCGGUGGUGUAAUGGUAGCACAGCAGAUUUUGAUUCUGCUUGACUAGGUUCGAGUCCUAGCCGGGUAA